Molecule: long non-coding RNA, 1375 nt
Organism: Dreissena polymorpha
Lineage: Eukaryota; Metazoa; Mollusca; Bivalvia; Myida; Dreissenidae
Exons: 3
Source: RefSeq, a predicted model, not a curated record
CACUUCGGACUAUUUGUGUUUUUUUAAUGAUUGGCUAUCUCCUUUCGGCAUGAAAUAAAGUUGAGCUAUUUAUUUGAAAAUUGGUCAUUCUUUCUUACGGAGACGGAGAUGCGGGCCUUGCAGAACAAAACUAGAAAUGGACAAAGAAAAUCACCCCUAACGAUGGCUAGCAACUUAAGAUGAUUGCUCGAUAUGCACCAAUAUCUAACCGGGACUAUAUUCCACGAUUUUUUUUCUGCAGCCGACCAUUCUGUGACAUCUCUUUGAACUUAAGCAUUUGAAAUAUAAGCAUUUGAAAUAUCUGCAAAUGACAACAUAUCUUCGUAAUAACGCCACACAGUGAGCCUUCAUAGAAACUUAACACAAAUUAAUAAGCCUUCUGAUCGGGACCUGCACCACGGACGGCCAAAAACCUCAACCAAUGAAGUUCAUCGGAACCCCGCCCAUAUCACAACAGGCGACGAUUCACUGACACGAUCCGGCGAAGGUUAACGCUGGAAGCGCUACUGAUCACGACCAUGCAACCAUGCGCCCUUCAUCUGUUGCAUAUCUUGUAGGAUCUACCAUCAACAGCUAUCAGCAAGACUACCUUACACUGACAUCCCAAGUUUAUAUUAUGAUCCUCCGCUUAAGACUGAAUCCUGACACACUGGAAUUUCGGAUGCCUCAGUUUCGGAACCUCUACUGAAACUAGACGACCCUCGACUGACAUCUCGUUUACCUUCUUAUCGGAACUUCUGCAGCACAGGACCAGACGACCAUGCACAAACUGGAUAAGACGCCCAUGCACAGACAGGACCAGACGACCAUCAACUGACGUCAUUCGGGAUGCCUUCUCGUUGUAACCGCUACACGACAAGAUAAGACCACCAUCCAGUGACGUCACGAAGCAAGCCUUCUCAUUGAAACCACUCCAAGGCAGGAUUAGACGACCAUCUACUGAUGCUAACCCGCAUGCCUUAUCAUUUGAAAUUCUCCAAAGACAGGACCAGACAACCACCCACCAAUCUACGUAAUCCGGCUUGCCUAUUCUUCAAACACUACCCGCUCAAGCAGACGAACAUAGGGCCUGAUGUCACCUGCGCAAUCCUUGAUUUGAAAACCCCUUUUACAAACCAACAGAUGAUAAAAUACAGACUGGAUCUUUUCACUCCGUAAAUGAUGGUUUGUAUAAGGAAGUAGUAGACACAACUUUUAAGCCACAUAAUAGAAAUAUUAUCAAUUACGUAAAUUGAGGUGCAAACAAACUCGUCUAAAACCAAUUCACUUCACGAUGAUGUCCAUUGUCCACAGAUUUCCGUGUGCAAUAAUGAUAAUUUCAAAUUUAAAUAUUUUUUAUUGGCAUUUUGUUGUUGGAAAAUUGUUUACCUGCUUU